ACCCACUCACUGGUGAGCUCCGCAAGAGUGUACUUCUCUCCGUUCCUGGAGCGCCACGGCGUGCUGGUGCAUAGUAAGCAUCUGUCCAUGUCUGUCCAGUUGAAUUUCUUGAGAGUCAUUUGACCUUCUCAGCAGCUCUGGAGAACCCACAUUGACCAGAAACUUUGCAGCCAGCUCACCCCUCCAACUCCCCGCCCUGGAGUCCCUGACCCAGGAAUUUCUGCAUCAGGCUGCUCAAACCUGAAUUCGACAAAAUUUCAAAGCGCUGUAUCUUUAUGUUGAUAAGACAACAGAUAAAGUGCCAUACUUCGAACCUAGAUCACUCGAUGUUGCCUGUAGCUGAGUCCACUUCUGUCACUCACCCUGCAUUGCCCUGCUAGGAGCAAGGGAGAGAAAGCCAGCCAGAAGGCAUGGGCUCAAAUCUGUCUCCUCCUGUGGCCACUGUGAAAGUUGAUCAUACAAAGGACACUGUUGUCAUAGCCAAGCAGAGUUGAGACCAUGGGAAAAAGCACUUGGACCACGUAACAUUGCUCCAAGAGUAUAACUGUCUCCAACCCUGGCUGCUGGAACAAGUGUUGCAACCUGAAACCGGUUUGAUCUAAUAGCUACAGAAACAACCUGCGGAAAUCUAAGACUAGUUUCACCCACUCACCAAUCAGAGCUUGCCGGAUCCCCAAAACGUUGCUAGUGCUAAUGAACUUGCUUUCCUAACAAUCCAUACCAUUUCUCAUUUUUAUGAAACCUACAACCUUCUCUUUGCUCUUUGGACAUACUGAAGACCACCCAGUCUGUGUGUAUGCCCCAAACUGAAAUUCUUGCUCCCCAAAUAAAACAUUUUAAACAUAGAGAUUUGUCCGUAUAUUUUAUUUGACUUUGACAGCACCAGGGGCUCCGGCACAAAUCUCCUCCUUCAAGCCCUUUUCUACACAGUCCCGUGGGUCUGCCCUGAAAGAAGCCUGAUGAUGACUCAAAGACACAAUGUCACUGGGAGGUAAAUUCAGGAUUACUUGACCGAAUGGCCCACCCGAGGUCACGGAGGCUGCUGGAGGAACAGAAAAUGGUCUUCACCAAGUGAAGCAUUGUCGGUCUUGGCCUGUGUCUGGCUGGAGAAUGUUAAAAUUCUGGGGACACAACAGAAAAGGCACAGUUGUGGGGACCAGGCCAAUGUCAGCGUGAGAACUGGCUCCAUCCCCCUCCCAUGAAGUAGCUCUGCGGCCAAGGCAGGUCUGCAUUUCCUGGUCUGUGACACGGAGUCAGUAACAUUGCCUACUUCCCGGGGCUAUUUCCAGAGAAGUGAGGGAAUGGGUGUGGAACGCCUGCCAGCAUGAAACGUCUCUGUCUUUCUAGCCAGCCCUGAGCCAGGGAAGGGACUGGAAGCGCAGCGGGUGGCUGAGGCGGGCUUUCGGCAGCUUACCCCCAGCCUUGCCCCUCCCCGCCUGCUGAAACACAAAUCUAUGGUUGUCGCCUUCCUGGAGAUGUUAGCCGCCCCCUCCAGAGGUGGUUCCAAAUCUAUUUCUCAUUUGGCUGAUUUAGGAGAGGCUGCGAAUCGGUCGCUAUGGUUCCUUUAUUUUCUCCUGACAGCUUAGGAAUCAUUUUUCCAAUUAUUCCCAGGGGAGGAAAAAGAAGUGGAGGAAGCCAGUGUGUGGAAUGAGGGGAAGCUCACGGAUCUGAAAUGCAACCUCUUCUGCAGGAGACCCGGCGCAGCUACCGGGACCCAUCACCUCCCUGCAGGACCCCCGCCCAGCCCCCUCCAGCCAGCCCUGCGUGGUUGUGGCCCCACUGCAGAAACGCCUCCGCUUAACACUCCAGCCUCUCUCCUAUUCGGUCAGGCCACAGCUGCUGACUUGGUGCCUGCUGUAGCAACCCCGAGCCCCCAAAUAAACCCUCCCUCCCAGGGCGGCCUCUCUACGGGAGGAGACAGACGGUG
RNAcentral lists this long non-coding RNA (1927 nucleotides) under Pan troglodytes (chimpanzee). Its description in RNAcentral is "lincRNA". Lineage: Eukaryota; Metazoa; Chordata; Mammalia; Primates; Hominidae. The record is from RNAcentral.